Molecule: long non-coding RNA, 256 nt
Filed under: Panax ginseng (ginseng)
Lineage: Eukaryota; Viridiplantae; Streptophyta; Magnoliopsida; Apiales; Araliaceae
Description: long non-coding RNA (PGIN_LNC007264)
Source: RNAcentral
GGUGUGUUUGAAGGAAAUAGAUUGGGGAGAAGAUGAAAUAAGGUGAGACGGUGAGGGUUUGGCCGCCAGCGACAGCGAUGAAAUCACCGGAGCGCAGCCGGAGCGAACUGCCGGAAACAGUAGAGUUUGCAUAGCUCCAAUCUUGAAGGUAAUUCUUGUGCAGAGGCAGAGGGAGCAGCAGCUUGAAGGUAAUUCUUGUGCAGAGGCAGAGGGAGCAGCAGCUUGAAGGUAAUUAAUUUGGUUAUUUCUGCCUUUC